GCUGCCGCUGCUGCUGCUGCUGAUGCUGUUGAUGCUGCUGCUGCUGAUGCUGCUGCUGCUGAUGCUGCUGCUGCUGAUGCUGCUGCUGC
This 89-nucleotide small RNA is filed under the name Drosophila guanche. The record is from RNAcentral. Lineage: Eukaryota; Metazoa; Arthropoda; Insecta; Diptera; Drosophilidae.